Molecule: long non-coding RNA, 349 nt
Organism: Zalophus californianus (California sea lion)
Lineage: Eukaryota; Metazoa; Chordata; Mammalia; Carnivora; Otariidae
Exons: 3
Source: RefSeq, a predicted model, not a curated record
UAGACUUCAGUAAUGUGACUGAAUAUCCCAGGGAGAUUUGGAGUCUUGCUAGCUAUUAGAUUUUACAUUUUAAUGAUAACUUUUUGAACUGGCUUAUCCAGCAACAAUGCCUGUAGGAUGGGAGCACAAAGGACCACAAGGGGGAUCAAUAUGACUAUCGUGGUGAAGCUUGAAGACAUACUCAUUGGUGUCCCUGGAUCAAACAAUGAUUUCCACUUUAAGUUGGUUCGAAAUCAAAUGAUUCCUGUCUCAUUUAUAUCGGUGCUUCUGCUCUUCAGACUUCAGGAUUCAGACUGAAUUAUAUCACUGACUUUCCUGGCUCUCGGGUUUGCAGGCAGCAGAUCAUGGG